GGAAGUACGUAACAAGGUUUCCGUAGGUGAACCUGCGGAAGGAUCAUUAUUGUAUAACCGAGGUGCGAGGGCUGUCGCUGACCCGAAAGGUCGUGCACGCCCGAGUGCCCUCACACACAUCCAUCUCACCCCUAUGUGCACCACCGCGUGGGUCCCCCUUUGGCUUGUUCGGAGGGGGGCUUACGUUUUCACACAAACUUUGUAUGCAGUGUAGAAUGUAUUUUUUGUUUUUGCGAUCACGCAAUCAAUACAACUUUCAACAACGGAUCUCUUGGCUCUC
This 280-nucleotide unclassified non-coding RNA is filed under the name plant metagenome. Its description in RNAcentral is "partial contains small subunit ribosomal RNA, internal transcribed spacer 1, and 5.8S ribosomal RNA". The stretch from base 1 to 49 matches the Rfam family "Eukaryotic small subunit ribosomal RNA", at positions 1784 to 1831 of the family's 1831-position model. The record is from RNAcentral.